UAGCAGGGCAUGGAAUAUUUAUGCUGAGGAAAAAAGAAUGUAAAGUAAAUACAAGGUAUUAAAAAAAGAAAAACGUAUGUUACAAAAGUGUUUUUUUUUCUUUCCUAAUUAAUUAUUCACCAUUUUUUAUUAACGAAUCUGAGGGAUGGCCUUUAAGUUUUAAAUGGUGAUCUGGAUUUCACAUAGGUGUUUAAUUGUUUCUUGACUUCCACAAUAAUGUCAUGUACAUUUAGUAUUCCUGGUGUUCUCUUAGCUUCCCAGCGCCAGAUCUCGGUGUGCAGUUGAAGUGGAUGAAGUCGUUUAUCAGCAAGGAACAUCACAAGUGUCGUACAACAAAGAAGUCCUUCCAGAUUGGAUAUUAAGACAAAGAGCUUUUGGCAUUUGUGCAGACUUAAAUGAACAUCUGUGUUUCUGAUGUCAGAAGAUUCAUUGUGUGAUAACGGAAGUGAAGCCUCAAAGGAAAAUCCUUUUGCUGAUAAAAAUUGCAGCUGGAACUGACCGUGACUCAAGCACUUCCAAGGUCAUCCAACAUGAGUGAGCUCAAGCAGCACGGCACUUGGGAGACUGUAUAAAAUAAAAACAUUUUCCUACGUUUAAUCA
Molecule: long non-coding RNA, 600 nt
Filed under: Numida meleagris (helmeted guineafowl)
Lineage: Eukaryota; Metazoa; Chordata; Aves; Galliformes; Numididae
Description: lncRNA (ENSNMEG00000023017.1)
Source: RNAcentral